This 20-nucleotide unclassified non-coding RNA is filed under the name Mus musculus (house mouse). RNAcentral's name for it is "oocyte_clustered_small_RNA4618". Lineage: Eukaryota; Metazoa; Chordata; Mammalia; Rodentia; Muridae. The record is from RNAcentral.
UUAGUAGAAGGCAGGGUAAA